RNAcentral lists this RNase P RNA (425 nucleotides) under Ignavibacteriota bacterium. RNAcentral describes it as "Ignavibacteriae bacterium (groundwater metagenome) RNase P RNA component class A". It matches the Rfam family "Bacterial RNase P class A". From Rfam's summary of the family: Ribonuclease P (RNase P) is a ubiquitous endoribonuclease, found in archaea, bacteria and eukarya as well as chloroplasts and mitochondria. Its best characterised activity is the generation of mature 5'-ends of tRNAs by cleaving the 5'-leader elements of precursor-tRNAs. Lineage: Bacteria; Pseudomonadati; Ignavibacteriota. The record is from RNAcentral.
AAUGCAGGUCGGGCAGCCGCGUUCCGUUACGCUUGUCGCACCGGGAUGAGGAAAGUCCGAACUCCAGAGAGCAAGGUGCCCCGUGAACAGCGGGGGCUCUGCGGACGAAAGUCUGCAGUGACGGAAAGUGUCACAGAAAACAUACCGUCUGGCCGCCUUUUGGCGGCCGUGAUAAGGGUGAAAAGGCGAGGUAAGAGCUCACCGCUUCGACAGUAAUGUCGGAGGCACGACAAACCCCACCUGGAGCAAGACCAAAUAAGGGAGGAGAAGUUGCUCGCUUCACCUCUGCGUCCUGCUUUUGCACUCGCAGAGAGACUCCCGGGUAGGUCGCUUGAGCCGAGGAGCAAUCCGAGGCCCAGAUAAAUGGCUGCCUCCUCCGCAUUUCGCGGAGCAGACAGAAUUCGGCUUACAGACCUGCAGUGCUU